AAAAUAAUGAGUCAUGUACACGAGUAAUGUACAUAGAGAUACAUAUAGGAAAAAUAAUGAGUCACGGCACACGAGUAAUGUACAAUAAUCACAAAAGUAGAAAUACUCAUCAUGCGUGCAUGAAACAACAUGAAUUAAGAACAUAAUACAAGAAAUACAAAAAGGAUGCAUCAUCUCUAUCUAGACAUAGCCUGAUGCGAUGUCAAGCCACUUAUUCAAGAGAUAGCACGCUGUGGCGAUACAUAGCUAGCUCCAUCCAGGUGUCUCCUCAUUCAAUUGUCAUAUAUGUAUAGAGAGAGAGGAAGAGAUCAACUGUCGGUUGUCGGCGGUUUGCGCUUCGGUGGCGGCUCAGGCUUUGGUUCGGGUUUGGGUUCUGGUUUAGGCAUCGGUUCAGGCUUGGGCUCGGGUUUUGGUUCAGGUUUAGGCAUGGGCUUAGGCAUGGGCUCAGGCUUUGGUUCUGGUUUAGGCAUUGGCUUAGGCUUGGGUUCGGGUUUUGGCUCUGGUUUGGGCAUUGGCUCAGGCUUGGGUUCUGGUUUAGGCAUGGGCUCAGGCUUUGGUUCCGGUUUAAUUGGCUCAGGCUUCGGUUCCGGCUUAGGCAUUGGCUCGGGCUUGGGCUCAGGUUUUGGCUCAGGUUUAGGCAUUGGCUCGGGUUUGGGCUCAGGUUUAGGCUCAGGUUUAGGCACUGGCUCAGGCUUAGGCUCGGGUUUAGGCUCAGGUUUAGGCACUGGCUUAGGCAUGGGCUCGGGUUUUGGUUCCGGUUUAGGCAUUGGCUCAGGUUUGGGCUCGGGUUUAGGCUCGGGUUUAGGCAUUGGCUUAGGCAUGGGCUCGGGUUUUGGUUCCGGUUUGGGCAUGGGCUCUGGUUUUGGCUCGGGUUUUGGCAUUGGCUUAGGCAUGGGCUCUGGUUUUGGUUCCGGUUUAGGCAUCGGCUCAGGUUUCGGCUCUGGUUUAGGCAUUGGUUUGGGCAUUGGUUCCGGCUUGGGCUCUGGCUUCGGCUCGGGCUUGGGCAUGGGUUCAGGUUUGGGCUCAGGUUUCGGUCCCGGUUUGGGCAUUGGUUCUGGCUUCGGCUCAGGUUUCGGUUCAGGUUUAGGCAUGGGUUCAGGUUUCGGUUCAGGUUUUGGCUCUGGUUUUGGCAUGGGCUUGGGCUCCGGUUUUGGCAUGGGUUUUGGUUCCGGCUUUGGCUCUGGCUGCGGCAUAGGCUUAGGCUCCGGCUCGAC
Molecule: long non-coding RNA, 1214 nt
Filed under: Brachypodium distachyon (stiff brome)
Lineage: Eukaryota; Viridiplantae; Streptophyta; Magnoliopsida; Poales; Poaceae
Description: long non-coding RNA (BDIS_LNC001046)
Source: RNAcentral